GAAAUGCGAUAACUAUUGUGAAUUGCAGAAUUCAGUGAAUCAUCGAAUCUUUGAACGCACAUUGCGCUCCCUGGUAUUCCGGGGAGCAUGCCCGUUUCAGAAUCAUUUAAAUUCUCACCGACUUCUCGCGUCAGCUUGCGGAAGGUGGACGUUGGGUGUUUUUGCACUUGUGUGCAAUCACCUGAAAAUCAUUGUGUGUGCUCCAGCUUGUUUGGUUGGCUCUCAAAGUGCAACGGAAAUUUUCUAUUCACAAUGAGGUCGCCCGAACGGGUUGUUGGCAUGUACCCCAUGGCAUACGGUUGGAGUGUUGAGAUUCAGCAUUUCAACUGAAAAAUUGGUCUGAAAUCGGGCAGGAAAACCCGCUGAACUUAA
RNAcentral lists this unclassified non-coding RNA (372 nucleotides) under uncultured fungus. RNAcentral describes it as "sequence contains ITS1". The stretch from base 1 to 105 matches the Rfam family "5.8S ribosomal RNA", at positions 50 to 154 of the family's 154-position model. Lineage: Eukaryota; Fungi. The record is from RNAcentral.